This 774-nucleotide ribosomal RNA is filed under the name uncultured Neocallimastigales. Its description in RNAcentral is "partial large subunit ribosomal RNA". It matches the Rfam family "Eukaryotic large subunit ribosomal RNA", at positions 18 to 616 of the family's 3401-position model. Lineage: Eukaryota; Fungi; Neocallimastigomycota; Neocallimastigomycetes; Neocallimastigales. The record is from RNAcentral.
UCAGACGAUGCGUCAUGCAUAUCAAUAAGCGGAGGAAAAGAAACUAACAAGGAUUCCCCUAGUAACGGCGAGCGAAGCGGGAAGAGCUCAAAUUUGAAAUCUUAAAGGGUUUCCCUUUACGAAUUGUAGUUUAAAGAAGUGUUUUCUGUUGAGGUUUUGGUAAAAGUUCUUUGGAAUAGGACAUCAUAGAGGGUGAGAAUCCCGUAUUUGACCUUUACUUUCAACUUUGUGAUACACCUUCAAAGAGUCGGAUUGUUUGGGAAUGCAGUCCAAAAUGGGUGGUAAAUUUCAUCUAAAGCUAAAUAUUGGCGAGAGACCGAUAGCGAACAAGUACCGUGAGGGAAAGAUGAAAAGAACUUUGAAAAAAGAGUUAAACAGUACGUGAAAUUGUCAAAAGGGAAGCGUUUGACACCAGUGUUGUUUUUCUGAAAAUCAAUUAAAGAACUGUUUAUGCUAAGUUGUUUAGACUUUAUCAGCUAACUGUUUAGUUUUGAGCUUUUCUUUAAUGCACUUUUCAGUUAACAAGUCAGCAUCAAUUUCUUUUGCUGUAAAAAAGCUUGAGGAAGGUGGCUUGAGAUUCGUCUUAAGUGUUUAUAGCCUCUUGCCUAUGCAGUCGGAGAGAUUGAGGUCUGCAGCGUAGAUCCUUCGGGGCUAAAUGCAUUUGUGCUAAGUUAUAGCAUUUUAUAGACAACUUGUUGACUAUGAUUUGUCUUGUAGCUUACUCGCUUAUGUUAUUUUACCUACGCUUAGGAUGUUGAGCGCAUGUCUCUCUCU